AGGUUAAGUGAAUAAGGGCGCACGGUGGAUGCCUUGGCACUAGGAGCCGAUGAAGGACGGGACUAACACCGAUAUGCUUUGGGGAGCUGUACGUAAGCUAUGAUCCAGAGAUUUCCGAAUGGGGGAACCCAGCAUCUUUAAUAGGAUGUUACGAUUGUGUGAAUACAUAGCACAUUCGAGGUAGACGCAGAGAACUGAAACAUCUAAGUACCUGCAGGAAGAGAAAGAAAAUUCGAUUCCCUGAGUAGCGGCGAGCGAAACGGGAAAAGCCCAAACCAGCAAGCUUGCUUGUUGGGGUUGUAGGACUCCAAUAUGGUAGUUCUUUCAGAUAGUCGAAUGACUUGGAAAAGUCAGUCAAAGAGGGUAAAAACCCCGUAGACGAAAUGUGGAAGACACCUAGGAGGAUCCUGAGUACGGCGGAACACGAGAAAUUCCGUCGGAAUCCGGGAGGACCAUCUCCCAAGGCUAAAUACUCCCUAGUGACCGAUAGUGAACCAGUACCGUGAGGGAAAGGUGAAAAGCACCCCGGAAGGGGAGUGAAAUAGAACCUGAAACCGUGUGCCUACAACAAGUCAAAGCCCGUUAAUGGGUGAUGGCGUGCCUUUUGUAGAAUGAACCGGCGAGUUACGAUUGCAUGCGAGGUUAAGUUGAAGAGACGGAGCCGCAGCGAAAGCGAGUCUGAAUAGGGCGUUUGAGUAUGUAGUCGUAGACCCGAAACCAUGUGAUCUACCCAUGUCCAGGUUGAAGGUGCGGUAAAACGCACUGGAGGACCGAACCCACGUACGUUGAAAAGUGCGGGGAUGAGGUGUGGGUAGCGGAGAAAUUCCAAACGAACUUGGAGAUAGCUGGUUCUCUCCGAAAUAGCUUUAGGGCUAGCCUCGGAAUUGAGAAUGAUGGAGGUAGAGCACUGUUUGGACUAGGGGCCCAUCUCGGGUUACCGAAUUCAGAUAAACUCCGAAUGCCAUUCAUUCAUAUCCGGGAGUCAGACUGUGAGUGAUAAGAUCCAUAGUCGAAAGGGAAACAGCCCAGACCACCAGCUAAGGUCCCAAAAUAUAUGUUAAGUGGAAAAGGAUGUGGGGUUGCACAGACAACUAGGAUGUUGGCUUAGAAGCAGCCAUCAUUUAAAGAGUGCGUAAUAGCUCACUAGUCGAGUGACCCUGCGCCGAAAAUGUACCGGGGCUAAACAUAUUACCGAAGCUGUGGAGUACACCUUUAGGUGUAUUGGUAGGAGAGCGUUCUAAGGGCGUCGAAGGCAGAUCGUGAGGACUGCUGGAGCGCUUAGAAGUGAGAAGGCCGGUAUGAGUAGCGAAAGACAGGUGAGAAUCCUGUCCACCGAAUGACUAAGGUUUCCUGGGGAAGGCUCGUCCGCCCAGGGUUAGUCGGGACCUAAGCCGAGGCCGACAGGCGUAGGCGAUGGAUAACAGGUUGAUAUUCCUGUACCCGUUGUUUUUGUUUGAGCAAUGGAGGGACGCAGGAGGCUAAGGAAUGCAGACGAUCGGAAAUGUCUGUCCAAGCAGUAAGUCUGAAGAGGAGUCAAAUGCUUCUUUUCUUAAGGACAAGCUGUGAUGGGGAGGGAAAUAAUAGUACCGAAGUUCCUGAUGUCACACUGCCGAGAAAAGCUUCUAGUGAGAAAACAGCGGCCCGUACCGCAAACCGACACAGGUAGUCGAGGAGAGAAUCCUAAGGUGAGCGAGAGAACUCUCGUUAAGGAACUCGGCAAAAUGACCCCGUAACUUCGGGAGAAGGGGUGCUGAUCAUACGAUCAGCCGCAGUGAAUAGGCCCAAGCGACUGUUUAUCAAAAACACAGGUCUCUGCAAAAUCGUAAGAUGAAGUAUAGGGGCUGACGCCUGCCCGGUGCUGGAAGGUUAAGAGGAGUGCUUAGCGCAAGCGAAGGUACGAAUUGAAGCCCCAGUAAACGGCGGCCGUAACUAUAACGGUCCUAAGGUAGCGAAAUUCCUUGUCGGGUAAGUUCCGACCCGCACGAAAGGCGUAACGAUUUGGGCACUGUCUCAACGAGAGACUCGGUGAAAUUUUAGUACCUGUGAAGAUGCAGGUUACCCGCGACAGGACGGAAAGACCCCAUGGAGCUUUACUGUAGUUUGAUAUUGAGUGUCUGUACCGCAUGUACAGGAUAGGUAGGAGCCGUAGAAAUCGGAACGCUAGUUUCGAUGGAGGCGCUGGUGGGAUACUACCCCUGCGUUAUGGCCACUCUAACCCGCACCACUAAUCGUGGUGGGAGACAGUGUCAGAUGGGCAGUUUGACUGGGGCGGUCGCCUCCUAAAAGGUAACGGAGGCGCCCAAAGGUUCCCUCAGAAUGGUUGGAAAUCAUUCGAAGAGUGUAAAGGCAGAAGGGAGCUUGACUGCGAGACCAACAAGUCGAGCAGGGACGAAAGUCGGGCUUAGUGAUCCGGUGGUUCCGCAUGGAAGGGCCAUCGCUCAACGGAUAAAAGCUACCCUGGGGAUAACAGGCUUAUCUCCCCCAAGAGUCCACAUCGACGGGGAGGUUUGGCACCUCGAUGUCGGCUCGUCGCAUCCUGGGGCUGUAGUCGGUCCCAAGGGUUGGGCUGUUCGCCCAUUAAAGCGGCACGCGAGCUGGGUUCAGAACGUCGUGAGACAGUUCGGUCCCUAUCCGUCGCGGGCGUUGGAAAUUUGAGAGGAGCUGUCCUUAGUACGAGAGGACCGGGAUGGACUUACCGCUGGUGUACCAGUUGUUCUGCCAAGGGCAUUGCUGGGUAGCUAUGUAGGGAAGGGAUAAACGCUGAAAGCAUCUAAGUGUGAAGCCCACCUCAAGAUGAGAUUUCCCAUUUCUUUAAGAAAGUAAGAUCCCUGAGAGAUGAUCAGGUAGAUAGGUCAGGAGUGGAAGUACAGUGAUGUAUGGAGCGGACUGAUACUAAUCGAUCGAGGACUUAACCAAU
RNAcentral lists this ribosomal RNA (2917 nucleotides) under Enterococcus faecium. RNAcentral describes it as "bacterial LSU rRNA". It matches the Rfam family "Bacterial large subunit ribosomal RNA". Lineage: Bacteria; Bacillati; Bacillota; Bacilli; Lactobacillales; Enterococcaceae. The record is from RNAcentral.